This 407-nucleotide ribosomal RNA is filed under the name uncultured bacterium. RNAcentral's name for it is "partial 16S ribosomal RNA". It matches the Rfam family "Bacterial small subunit ribosomal RNA", at positions 30 to 526 of the family's 1533-position model. The record is from RNAcentral.
AUUGAACGCUGGCGGCAGGCCUAACACAUGCAAGUCGAGCGGCGCACGGGACGGGGAAGGAAUGCCUAGGAAUCGGCCUGUGAGCGGGGGAUAACGUUCAGAACCGGGCACUGAUGCCAAAUACUUGCACAUGAGGCUAGGUCGGAUUAGCUUGUUGUAGGGGGAGAGGCCUACCAAGGCGACGAUCCGUAACUGGUCUGGGAGGAUGAUCAGUCACACUGGAACGUAGACACGGCCCAGACUCCUACGGGAGGCAGCAGUGGGGAAUAUUGGACAAUGGGCGAAAGCCUGAUCCAGCCAUGCCUCGUGUGUGAAGAAGGUCUUCGGAUUGUAAAGUACUUUCAGUUGGGAGGCGUUACCGACAGAAUAAGCACCGGCUAACUCCGUGCCAGCAGCCGCGGUAAUUC